CAGCCGCCGCGGUAACCCCGACGCUGCAGUGUUAACCGGAUUAUUGGGUCUAAAGGUCGCGUACCGGUUCUGUAAUGCCCUGGUGAAUCCCCGCACUCACUCCCGGCUGGCAUGGAUGACUACUGACUUGAAUAUCGGGGAAGUGAGACGGUAUUCCUGAGGGACCGGUAAAUUGUGAUAAUCUCCAUAGGACCACCGAUGGCAAAGCUGUCUUCUAAUAUGGAUCUGACGGUGAGGGAUGAAAGGUGGGGAGCGAUCCGGAUUAAAUACCCGAUUAUCCCUACCCGUAAACGCUGAUACUCGAUGUUACCAUACACUGUAGAUUGUGUAAUGUAAAAACGAAGGUGUUAACUUGCCACCUGGGAAGUACGGUUGAAGGCUGAAACUUUGGGAAUUGACGGU
RNAcentral lists this ribosomal RNA (402 nucleotides) under uncultured archaeon. RNAcentral's name for it is "partial 16S ribosomal RNA". It matches the Rfam family "Archaeal small subunit ribosomal RNA", at positions 459 to 872 of the family's 1478-position model. The record is from RNAcentral.